GAUGAACGCUAGCGAUAGGCUUAACACAUGCAAGUCGAGGGGCAGCGCGAGGUAGCAAUACUUUGGCGGCGACCGGCGCACGGGUGCGUAACACGUAUGUAACUUACCUCUUACAAUCGGAUAACACGGUGAAAGUCGUGCUAAUACGGUAUAGUUUCGCAAGCUCGCAUGGGCAUGCGAAUAAAGAUUCAUCGGUAAGAGAUAGACAUGCGGUCCAUUAGAUAGUUGGUGAGGUAACGGCUCACCAAGUCGACGAUGGAUAGGGGGACUGAGAGGUUGACCCCCCACACUGGUACUGAGACACGGACCAGACUCCUACGGGAGGCAGCAGUGAGGAAUAUUGGUCAAUGGACGCAAGUCUGAACCAGCCAAGUAGCGUGCAGGAUGACGGCCCUAUGGGUUGUAAACUGCUUUUAUAUGGGGAUAAAGUGGGGAACGUGUUCCCUUUUGCAGGUACCAUAUGAAUAAGGACCGGCUAAUUCCGUGCCAGCCGCCGCGGUAA
Molecule: ribosomal RNA, 502 nt
Filed under: uncultured Bacteroidales bacterium
Lineage: Bacteria; Pseudomonadati; Bacteroidota; Bacteroidia; Bacteroidales
Description: bacterial SSU rRNA
Rfam family: Bacterial small subunit ribosomal RNA
Source: RNAcentral